UAGGGAAUCUUCGGCAAUGGGGGCAACCCUGACCGAGCAACGCCGCGUGAGUGAAGAAGGGUUUCGGCUCGUAAAGCUCUGUUGUUAAAGAAGAACACGUAUGAGAGUAACUGUUCAUACGUUGACGGUAUUUAACCAGAAAGCCACGGCUAACUACGUGCCAG
This 164-nucleotide ribosomal RNA is filed under the name uncultured bacterium. RNAcentral's name for it is "partial 16S rRNA". It matches the Rfam family "Bacterial small subunit ribosomal RNA", at positions 355 to 511 of the family's 1533-position model. The record is from RNAcentral.